GCUCUCGUGGCCCAGUUGGUUAGUGCGUCGUACUUAUAAUGCGAAGGUCGAGGGUUCGAUCCCCUCCAGGAGCA
This 74-nucleotide transfer RNA is filed under the name Dendronephthya gigantea. Its description in RNAcentral is "tRNA-Ile". It matches the Rfam family "tRNA". From Rfam's summary of the family: Transfer RNA (tRNA) molecules are approximately 80 nucleotides in length. Their secondary structure includes four short double-helical elements and three loops (D, anti-codon, and T loops). The record is from RNAcentral. Lineage: Eukaryota; Metazoa; Cnidaria; Anthozoa; Malacalcyonacea; Nephtheidae.